RNAcentral lists this ribosomal RNA (115 nucleotides) under Callithrix jacchus (white-tufted-ear marmoset). The record is from RNAcentral. Lineage: Eukaryota; Metazoa; Chordata; Mammalia; Primates; Cebidae.
GUCUACUGCCAUACCACCCUGAAUGCACCUGAUCUCAUCUGGUCUCGGAAGCUAAGCAGAGUUGAGCCUAGUUAGUACUUGGCUGGGAGGAUAGAGGGUCUUCUCCCAGCAACCU